RNAcentral lists this ribosomal RNA (524 nucleotides) under uncultured bacterium. Its description in RNAcentral is "partial 16S ribosomal RNA". It matches the Rfam family "Bacterial small subunit ribosomal RNA", at positions 28 to 523 of the family's 1533-position model. The record is from RNAcentral.
GACGAACGCUGGCGGCGUGCUUAACACAUGCAAGUCGAACGAGACGAUUGAAAGAUUGCUUUCGAAAGUCGACUGGCAAACGGGUGAGUAACGCGUAGACACCCUGCCUUUGAGAUGGGGAUAACAGUUCGAAAGGACUGCUAAUACCGAAUGAUGUAUAUUUUCCACAUGGAAGAUAUAUUAAAGAUGGCCUCUAUUUAUAAGCUAUCGCGCAAAGAUGGGUCUGUGUCUGGUUAGCUAGUUGGUGGGGUAACGGCCAACCAAGGCGAAGAUCGGUAGCCGGUCGGAGAGGAGGAACGGCAACAUUGGGACUGAGACACGGCCCAGACUCCUACGGGAGGCAGCAGUGGGGAAUCUUCCACAAUGGACGAAAGUCUGAUGGAGAAACGCCGCGUGAGUGAAGAAGGGUUUCGGCUCGUAAAGCUCUGUUGUCGGGGACGAAUGUGCAGUAUUUGAAUAAAGUAGUGUGAUGGCGGUACCUGACGAGGAAGCCACGGCUAACUACGUGCCAGCAGCCGCAGUAA